RNAcentral lists this long non-coding RNA (338 nucleotides) under Coturnix japonica (Japanese quail). RNAcentral's name for it is "lncRNA (ENSCJPG00005012558.1)". Lineage: Eukaryota; Metazoa; Chordata; Aves; Galliformes; Phasianidae. The record is from RNAcentral.
GCACCAAAUAAAAGCAAAUUUGAUGAAAAGUUUGUUGGGAUUUGAAAGGGACGUUUACAUCAGAGAAAUGGAAAAGAAGAUCUUGGCCCAAAUUCUGUUCCUGGGUUUUCUACUGCUCUGUACUUUGGAAGUCCAGUCUGAAUGGGAUACAACUACAGAGUAAGAAAGGGCAGCUAUGAAUAUCACAAUCAGAAGCAGCCUUUCACAAAACAGCUUGGAUAUCAAUCUGUGGCCUCUUCCAGUAUUCCUGUUCACUCCAUGAGCGUCUUUGCUUGGAUACGGUACCAGGAAGUGAGCACUUCUACACUUUCCACCUAUGCCCCUCAAAGAUGAAACAG